Canis lupus familiaris (dog) is the source of this 2698-nucleotide long non-coding RNA. RefSeq lists it as uncharacterized. The transcript has 5 exons. NCBI's taxonomy places the organism in Eukaryota, Metazoa, Chordata, Mammalia, Carnivora, Canidae. The record is from RefSeq and is a predicted model, not a curated record.
UUUUUUUUGCAAAGGAGUCUAAUUCAUCCUGGAACACUUCACCAAAACUAUGACAGAGAACGCUCAGCUUCCCAAGUCGCUCUUACCGACAAGGUCUGAAGCUUGGAAUGAUGUUUUGUGAAUCACCAGCCUUGUUAGAAUUAUGAUACCACCUAAUGAUCCUCCUCUGGAAUGAAGGGCCAUUCUUUUUGUGAACCAGUUUCCUUCAAACCGUCCAACUAUGGAUGUUCUGAAUCGCACAAGGAGGACUAUUACCCCGGGCCCCCCAGCCUACAAGCAUGCUGGAGCAGAGUCUCUGUCCUGUUUACUCUGUGUGCCCAGCACAGGGCACAAGGCACUAUGGGACUGAUUUAUUUAUUUGAAAGAGAGAGAAAGAAGCUCAAGUGUGCAAAUGAGGGGGGCAGGGCAGAGGGAGAGAGAAUAUCUGAGCAGACUGCCGCUGAGGAUGGAGCCCCAGGCGGUGGUGUUCCAUCUACAACCCGUGAGAUCAGGGCAAAACCAGGAGUCUGGAUGCUUAACCGACUGAGCCACCCGGGCGCUCCCAUUCUCUUUUGCUUUUUGAAAACAAAUUUUAUUUCUCUUGGAACAUGAUGUCAAAGACUGAAAUUGGAAGAAAGUGUAAGCUCAAAUCCAUGGAAAAGACAACACAGGAAACAAAUGCUGUAACCAUGGCUACUCUAGAUGCUGAAUGAAAUGGUUAUUAAGCUAAUUGGUAGAUAAUCCUGGCAUCUAUUAUCAUUUAAUAUAAUUAGUGUAUAAAUAAGGUGAUAAAAAUUAUGCUCUGUGUGAAGUUGUUCCUGAUGAUUGUUGUCUCUGUGUGCAAGUGAGAAAACUAAUAAGAAAAUGAUGAUUAUUAGUGGCAAAAAUAAUAAUAAGUAUAGGCCUUCUCUGGUUAUUCUGGCCCAAUAUGAUAUUUUUCUUCUUGCAUUGAUUAUACUUAUAUUCCUUUCCACAUAGACUGGUGUAUUGUUAUGGCUCCUUAGAACAAUUUUUUAUAUGGAUUCUUUUCUCCCCAGUAACACUGUAAACUCUUUGAUGGUAGGCAUUGAAUUCACUCCUACUAAAAGACUUUUUAUUUCUGUUAGUUGAGGUUCUGUAAGGAAUAUGAUGGAGACUGGCCAUAUUCUCUUCUUCCACAGUUAGUCCCUUUGUGCACAACUGGACUCCAUUUUACAGCCUCCUCUGCAGUUAGGAAUUGCAAUGGAAAUAGUUCUCACCAGUGGAAUGUGAGAAGUGAUGUGUCCCUACUGUGGAGUCUGAGACUUAAUUCAAUGAGCCUACCUCCUUCAGAUUCUUGUAUUUCUUCCCACCAGUUGAAAACCCAGUCCUGAGGGAGGAUUGUUGACCAAGAGUUUACAUGUUUACUCUUCAUGUGGCAGAUGAGAGAAUUUCUCUCUGGACUGAGUCUCUUUGGAAAGAGUGAUGGGUAGAUACAAUGAAAUGGCCAGAUGCCAACCCAGUCACCUCCAGUGAUGCCAGCUCCAUCAUGUGCCCAGAGUUUCCAAACAGAUCUUUGGUGCCUCAAUUCUAAAUCUAAAUAGACAGCCAAAGGUCACCAAACAUUUAAAGAAAACCUCUUAUGUGAAAAAAAGAUCACAAUGGACAGAACAAAAAGAUUUGGAUGAGUGACAAUGCAAGAAAUGGAAGAAAACAAAAAACAAAAUAAAUGAAACCCAAAACUCCAUGACUGUAGAGAGAGAAAAUACUUAUUGUAUGAAUUUUAAAAAAGUAGUUAUGGAUGUAUGGGCAUUCAGAGGGAAGAAAUUACCAUCAAAUUAAAAAACUAGGGUAGCAGAAACUCUAAGUAUUGAUUUUACGAGGAAUUAUGACGGAAUCGGGAAGAUAAAAGAAAGGGACGUGUGUACAGGGAGUGAGUAAGGUGGCAGAGGAAGGAAAGAUGGGGAGGGAUGGGGUAAAACAGCUGUUUUUCAUUAUCAACUUUGUACUAGGGACAGCUGGGUGGCUCAGUGGUUGAGUGUCUACCUUCGGCUCAGGUAGUGAUCCCGGGGUCCUGGGAUCGAGUCCCACAUCUGGCUUCCCAUGGGGAGCCUGCUUCUCCUUCUGCCUAUGUCUCUGCCUCUCUCUCUGUUUCUCUCCUGAAUAAAUAAAAUCUUAAAAAAGAACCCCAAAACUUUAUACUAAUUAUCACUUGAUAAAAAUAGAAUCAAAUUAUAUAAAAAAAGCAAAAUAAUAGGGAAAAAGAACUGUCAAGACACUUGAUUUAAACUGAAUGUUCUUAGUUGUUCUAGCACUGGAGAUAGAUAUUGCAGUUUUCUCUAAUUCAAUAGCUUUCCAAGUUGGAAGGACAGUGAGAGGCCAGGACAAAUGAGAGAUUUCCACUACCCAAGCCACAAGCUAUCUUUGGCAAACAAGAUUUAUUUAUUUAUUUCAGCUCCUUGGGGAUGAAUCAAAAGUCUUAUUCCAGAGCUCAGAUACUUCAACAUGUCCUGACCAAGGGGACAUUUGAAGAACAAGGGGAUAGUAGACACUAGAUCAGAAAUCCUAGGGGAGGACUUGUGAUUAUUUCUAGGGUGUACUGAUGAUCUAAUGUAUAGCUAUUAAAAAUAGUCAAAAUUAUACCAUAGCUAUACUGUAUGAAGUGAAAUUAAAUAACUGAAAAUAAAAAUGCAUAUGCCUUUCAAUGUAGCAAUCUCGAAUUCAUAUCUUUUUUUUUUUUAGGAUACCUAACAAUGCACAG